AACCUUUAGUUGGUGAGGCUUAACUUAAUUUCUAGACAAACAAGCCUUUAGCUUUUCUUCCCUGUUUUUGUUUUGCUCCACCUUUUUCCAUUUGGUUCCUGUCUAAGUUUGGUUUGAAGGUGUCUCCUUUCAAUCCGGGUCUUCAACCAGACAGAACUGAGUAGUUGCGCACGUCAAACACACAGCAUGCAUCCUUAAUGAAUAAACCAUACAAAGCCAAUGAAGUCUCAAUUCAAGUUGAGUCGUGUCAGUCAUUCCCUGCCAUGUAUCAUCUCCAUKACCUGACUGUUAAACUGAACUGGGCCUCUGCCUGCUCUUUAGCUGGGGUCCUACAGUAGAUGGACAUCACCUAAAGUUCAAUCAGUUAGAAUCUUGUAACUGAAGAAAAUUGACAGGCUACGAACUGAAGUAUUGGGGGGUGUUUCCCUGGGCACCCUUAUCAUGGGGGGACAUGCAGGAAACUUACAAAAGCACCCUUUGGUCAUGUUCAAGUGAGUUUUGUACCUGGAAGGUCCUGUGUGUGAAWAGGUUGUAUGGCAUCCUUGCUUUUGGUUUAUUUCUGUGUGCAACCAUUUUGACUGCAUUGAAGAAAUGUUUGGAAUGUGGUCGAUUUUGUUCUGAAUGUGUUGCGUUUAGCCAUCAGAGUUUAUUAAUGUGAUAAUAUUCAAGAUGUUAUUUAUGUAAAGCCACUGUAUUGUCCUUUUGUUUGGGGAGGCUUUGCUGGUUUGAUGUCCAGGCAUUAUUUUGGGCAUCACCCUCCAAUAAGGGGAUCGUCUAUAAGAAAAGUAAAUUGUGUUUCUAAAAUAACCAAUGUAUACAAAUGGGUAACGGUCUAUACUACCAUCAGAAGUACAGUAUUUGUUUUUGGUCAUCUUGAGAACUUGAUCAGCUGAAUCCAUGAAACAUUGUAUUUCAGAAGGCUCUCUAGUGGAAGUGACAGAUUAAAGAUGUACUCUUAAUGUGGGCWAAUCUGUCAAACAAGCUAAUCUAAAGUUUAAUCGUUGCUUGUUCAUCUGCCUCUGURCUGUUUCCUUUGAAUGGUCCUCGAACCUGUGUAACAUUAAGAUAUUACAAUUGU
Salvelinus sp. IW2-2015 is the source of this 1078-nucleotide long non-coding RNA. RefSeq lists it as uncharacterized. NCBI's taxonomy places the organism in Eukaryota, Metazoa, Chordata, Actinopteri, Salmoniformes, Salmonidae. The record is from RefSeq and is a predicted model, not a curated record.